Non-coding RNA from Ceratotherium simum simum (southern white rhinoceros), 291 nucleotides. Lineage: Eukaryota; Metazoa; Chordata; Mammalia; Perissodactyla; Rhinocerotidae. The record is from RefSeq and is a predicted model, not a curated record.
AUAAUCUUUAUCUAACUGGAGCACUUUUUAAAUGAUUUUUAAAUGUCUGCUUUUCUAAAUGCUUAUAAACAGCAUUUGAAGCAAAAGUCAAUCACUUCCAUGCUCCGUCGGCCAUGAUGAACCACAAUAUAUAUAUAUAAUUUUAAAUUUUACCCCAUUUUCUGAUGGUUCUAAUAUCUGCAUAUGAAAUGUUACAAAGUCAAAACACCAGAAGUCCACAAGAAACUGAGAGCCAAAGGGAGAAAACUGGGCACUCAAGAAUUCCAAGCUUCUAAGUAUAGAAAGCUGAAA